This 473-nucleotide ribosomal RNA is filed under the name uncultured bacterium. RNAcentral's name for it is "partial 16S ribosomal RNA". It matches the Rfam family "Bacterial small subunit ribosomal RNA", at positions 28 to 507 of the family's 1533-position model. The record is from RNAcentral.
GAUGAACGCUAGCGGCAGGCCUAACACAUGCAAGUCGAGGGGGAGCUUUCGGGCUUCGACCGGCGUACGGGUGCGUAAAGCGUAUACAAUCUGCCUUUCACAAAGGGAUAGCCCGAAGAAAUUUGGAAUAAUAACUAAUGGGAUAUAGAGGUGGCAUCAACUUUUUUUUAAAGCUGGGGGGGGGAAAGGUGGGUAUGCGUUCUAUUAGCUAGUUGGAGAGGUAACGGCUCCCCAAGGCGACGAUAGAUAGGGGUUCUGAGAGGGAUAUCCCCCACACUGGUACUGAGAUACGGACCAGACUCCUACGGGAGGCAGCAGUGAGGAAUAUUGGACAAUGGUCGGAAGACUGAUCCAGCCAUGCCGCGUGCAGGAAGACGGCCUUAUGGGUUGUAAACUGCUUUUGCAGGGGAAGAAUAAGGACUACGCGUAGUUUGAUGACGGUACUCUGCGAAUAAGCAUCGGCUAACUCCGUG